AUACGGAUGGUGCGAGCGUUGUUCGGAAUUACUGGGCGUAAAGGGCGCGUAGGCGGCGAUGUAAGUCAAAUGUGAAAGUCCUCGGCUUAACCGGGGAAGUGCAUCUGAAACUGCAUUGCUUGAGUAUGGGAGAGGAAAGUGGAAUUCCCGGUGUAGAGGUGAAAUUCGUAGAGAUCGGGAGGAAUACCGGUGGCGAAGGCGACUUUCUGGACCAAUACUGACGCUGAGGUGCGAAAGCGUGGGGAGCAAACAGGAUUAGAAACCCCAGUAGUCC
This 274-nucleotide ribosomal RNA is filed under the name uncultured bacterium. Its description in RNAcentral is "partial 16S ribosomal RNA". It matches the Rfam family "Bacterial small subunit ribosomal RNA", at positions 523 to 796 of the family's 1533-position model. The record is from RNAcentral.